AAUCGAAGCAGUGAACUUAAGCCCCAGUAAACGGCGGCCGUAACUAUAACGGUCCUAAGGUAGCGAAAUUCCUUGUCGGGUAAGUUCCGACCCGCACGAAAGGCGUAACGAGUUGGGCACUGUCUCAACAACAGACUCGGUGAAAUUGUAAUUCCGGUGAAGAUGCCGGAUACCUGCGACAGGACGGAAAGACCCCAUGGAGCUUUCCUGUAGCUUGACAUUGGGUCUUGUUACUACAU
This 239-nucleotide ribosomal RNA is filed under the name Clostridioides difficile. RNAcentral describes it as "partial 23S ribosomal RNA". It matches the Rfam family "Bacterial large subunit ribosomal RNA", at positions 1897 to 2135 of the family's 2925-position model. The record is from RNAcentral. Lineage: Bacteria; Bacillati; Bacillota; Clostridia; Peptostreptococcales; Peptostreptococcaceae.